GAUGAAUGCUGGCGGCGUGCCUAACACAUGCAAGUCGAGCGGCAGCGAGGGGUGCUUGCACCCUGUCGGCGAGCGGCGAACGGCUGAGUAACGCGUAGGAAUUUGCCCCAAAGUGAGGAAUAACUGCCCGAAAGGGUAGCUAAUGCCGCAUAUGGUCUUCGGAUUAAAGGAUUUAUCCGCUUUGGGAGAAGCCUGCGUUGGAUUAGGUUGUUGGUAGGGUAAUGGCCUACCAAGCCGACGAUCCAUAGCUGGUCUGAGAGGAUGAUCAGCCAGACUGGAACUGAGACACGGUCCAGACUCCUACGGGAGGCAGCAGUGAGGAAUCUUCCACAAUGGGCGAAAGCCUGAUGGAGCAACGCCGCGUGAAGGAUGAAGGCCUUCGGGUUGUAAACUUCUUUCAUGAGUGAAGAAUAUGACGGUAACUCAUGAAUAAGCACCGGCUAACUACGUG
Molecule: ribosomal RNA, 451 nt
Filed under: uncultured bacterium
Lineage: Bacteria
Description: partial 16S ribosomal RNA
Rfam family: Bacterial small subunit ribosomal RNA
Source: RNAcentral